This is a long non-coding RNA of Amphiprion ocellaris (clown anemonefish), 862 nucleotides long. The record is from Ensembl. Lineage: Eukaryota; Metazoa; Chordata; Actinopteri; Pomacentridae.
UCCACCUCCACUGCUACUAGGACCUCCACCUCCUCCACCUCCACUGCUACCAGGACCUCCACCUCCUCCACCUCCACUGCUACUAGGACCUCCACCUCCUCCACCGUCAGCAGCAGCUCUGUCUCUGUCUCGGCUUUGAUGCAGGAUCCCAGAGCUGCAUCCCAGCCCCUCUCUCACUCCUCCCUCCUCCUCCACCUCCUGUUACCUCCUCCCUGCCACGGGGGCAAAAUGGAGAAACAGCAGGGCCAGAGGAGCCCACUGAUGAGGAGAUGCUGGAGGCCUCACAGGAGCCUCAUGCUCCUGUGGCCCAGGCUACACCUCUGGUGGCCCCACGGGUCCAGGCUGCCCUAUGGGUCCAGGCUGCCCCAGCGGUCCAGGCUCCACCACCACCACCACCUGCACUGACGGAGCAGAUGGCUGCCCCACCACCUCCUCCACCUGCUGGCAGUGCUGAGCUGCUCCCUGACUCCUGGAGAGCAGCUCUCACUGCAGAGCAGCAGCAGUGGAUCGGCCGGGUGCUGUUUUCCAGGGACAGCUCGGGGAGGCCACGGCUCAUCGGAGACCUGAACCUCUGGUGGUACCCUCCCCAGACCCGGCCGGUCUACAGUCAGCCUCCCGCGUCCCCCGACCCCUUCUUCGCAUGUCGGCUGUUCCUGUGGAUGCCACACAGGAUCUGGCGUCUGCAGCUGACAUGCCCCCAGCCUUCAUGCACAGGGUCCAUGAUGAAGGCUGGGCUGUACAGGACCAUCCGGAGGGUCCUGGACAUCGACGGCUGGUAUCUCAUGGCCACUGAGUACCUAGAGUGCCGUCGAUGUAAGAAGAAGGUCAGAGGCUGGUCACAGGGCAUCAUCAGGCAGCUGCC